GAUGAAGAACGUAGCGAAAUGCGAUAAGUAAUGUGAAUUGCAGAAUUCAGUGAAUCAUCGAAUCUUUGAACGCACCUUGCGCUCUUUGGUAUUCCGAAGAGCAUGCCUGUUUGAGUGUCAUGAAAAUAUCAACCUUGACUUGGGUUUUGUGCUCUAGUCUCGGCUUGGAAUUGGGUGCUUGCCGCUUUUACGAGCGGCUCACCUUAAAUGUAUUAGCUGGAUCUGUCUUUGAGACUUGGUUUGACUUGGCGUAAUAAGUAUUUCGCUAAGGACAUUCUUCGGAGGGGCCUCGUUUCUAGGACGCUUGUCCGCUUUCCAAUACAAGUUCCACCUCGUGGACAUGACUUUUUAUUAUCUGGCCUCAAAUCAGGUAGGACUACCCGCUGAACUUAAGCAUAUCAAUAAGCGGAGGA
RNAcentral lists this unclassified non-coding RNA (413 nucleotides) under soil metagenome. RNAcentral describes it as "partial contains 5.8S ribosomal RNA, internal transcribed spacer 2, and large subunit ribosomal RNA". The stretch from base 1 to 120 matches the Rfam family "5.8S ribosomal RNA", at positions 35 to 154 of the family's 154-position model. The record is from RNAcentral.